Molecule: ribosomal RNA, 465 nt
Filed under: Vreelandella stevensii
Lineage: Bacteria; Pseudomonadati; Pseudomonadota; Gammaproteobacteria; Oceanospirillales; Halomonadaceae
Description: partial 16S ribosomal RNA
Rfam family: Bacterial small subunit ribosomal RNA
Source: RNAcentral
CCUACGGGAGGCAGCAGUGGGGAAUAUUGGACAAUGGGCGAAAGCCUGAUCCAGCCAUGCCACGUGUGUGAAGAAGGCCUUCGGGUUGUAAAGCACUUUCAGUGGGGAAGAAAGCCUUGGGGCUAAUACCCUCGAGGAAGGACAUCACCCACAGAAGAAGCACCGGCUAACUCCGUGCCAGCAGCCGCGGUAAUACGGAGGGUGCGAGCGUUAAUCGGAAUUACUGGGCGUAAAGCGCGCGUAGGCGGUCUGAUAAGCCGGUUGUGAAAGCCCCGGGCUCAACCUGGGAACGGCAUCCGGAACUGUCAGGCUAGAGUGCAGGAGAGGAAGGUAGAAUUCCCGGUGUAGCGGUGAAAUGCGUAGAGAUCGGGAGGAAUACCAGUGGCGAAGGCGGCCUUCUGGACUGACACUGACGCUGAGGUGCGAAAGCGUGGGUAGCAAACAGGAUUAGAUACCCCAGUAGUC